RNAcentral lists this ribosomal RNA (467 nucleotides) under uncultured bacterium. RNAcentral's name for it is "partial 16S ribosomal RNA". It matches the Rfam family "Bacterial small subunit ribosomal RNA", at positions 28 to 507 of the family's 1533-position model. The record is from RNAcentral.
GACGAACGCUGGCGGCGUGCUUAACACAUGCAAGUCGAACGGAAAGGCCCUGCUUUUGUGGGGUGCUCGAGUGGCGAACGGGUGAGUAACACGUGAGUAACCUGCCCUUGACUUUGGGAUAACUUCAGGAAACUGGGGCUAAUACCGGAUAGGAGCUCCUGCUGCAUGGUGGGGGUUGGAAAGUUUCGGCGGUUGGGGAUGGACUCGCGGCUUAUCAGCUUGUUGGUGGGGUAGUGGCUUACCAAGGCUUUGACGGGUAGCCGGCCUGAGAGGGUGACCGGGCACAGUGGAAAAGGGGAAGGGCGAGGAGGCCAACGGCAGGAAGGGGGGGGAAGAUUGCGCAAUGGGGGGGAGUCAGAUGGAGCAACGCCGCGAGCGGGAUGAAGGGCUAUGAGUGAAAAACAAAUUUCGAAGGAAAAGAAGAGGGAGUGACGGUAAUGGGUAAAAAAGCAACGGCUAACUACGUG